This 954-nucleotide long non-coding RNA is filed under the name Homo sapiens (human). RNAcentral's name for it is "HSALNT0350845". The record is from RNAcentral. Lineage: Eukaryota; Metazoa; Chordata; Mammalia; Primates; Hominidae.
CGCGCUCCCUCCGCGUUAACUCAUCGCCCUGUCGCGCCCGCUUCUCCAGCGGGUUCGGCGGUCGGGGGAGGACAGUGAUCGAGUUCGAAGUUCGGAGGGUCUCUGCGUCUCUGGGGUUUCUAUCACUGCUCCUUCCAGCCCUCAAGCGGCUACUCCGAAGAAUGACGAAGGGCCCUACUUGCGUAGAUUCGUGGGAUGAUUUUACCAAGAAGGAAAAGGGGGAAAAGAAAUCACAAUUAUUGAGGGUCCAGCCUUGGUCAGAUUCCGUGUCAGACCCUUCCAACUUGACAUUAUUGACUCUUCACAACUCUUCAUUUUGUAGUCCAGGAAGCAGGCUCCGAGAGACUGCCUAGAAAAAACAGCACCCGGAUCUGAAUUCGAGGCCGUCCCACACCCAUCCCGGUACGGUUCCCAGCAGAACUGAGCUGGAGUGGCCCUGAUGCAAAUGAACUUAGAUCCCAGCUGCUUGUGAUGGAAGCCAAUCCCAGCUUUCCCAAGCUUACAGGUUUUUUCCAGAAGAAGCCAACUUGAUCUCCCGGAACACGAAUUCAGCAGGCUCUCAUCUCAGAACUGCCUCCAAUCCAUCCCAUACCCCUUCACACUUCAGUCCUUGGUAUUUUCUCCGAUCACACCUUCCACUCCUCCUUCAUAUUUGCAAGUCUCUCCCUGCAGAAUCUGCCCCGAGGAGCAAAGGACAUUUUUCCAUGGGGAACAGAAUUUUAGAAUUUCCCUUUGUACCCAGUGAGAAAGACUAAAGUUUGGUAUAGGAAAUAACCCAAAGACAAAUCUAUACACUGCAUAGAACACAGGAAGCCUGGGCUCUGAAAACAUAAAAGACACCAAAUCAUUCCUGGAGCACUUGUGAAGUUUUGGAAAAUUCCUUUAACCUCUCUAAACCUCAGUCUCCUCAUUUGUAAAAUGAACAUAAUAAAUAUUUUUUCUUGCCUAUGUCAA